AGCGAACGCUGGCGGCAGGCCUAACACAUGCAAGUCGAACGAACUCUUCGGAGUUAGUGGCGGACGGGUGAGUAACACGUGGGAACGCGCCUUUAGGUUCGGGAUAGCUCAGGGAAAGUUGUUCUAAUACCGAAUGUGCCCUUAGGGGGACAGAUUUAUCGCCUUUAUAGCGGCCCGCGUCUGAUUAGCUAGUUGGUGAGGUAAAGGCUCACCAAGGCCUCGAUCAGUAGCUGGUCUCAGAGGAUGAUCAGCCACAUUGGGACUGGGACACGGCCCAAACUCCUACGGGAGGCAGCAGUGUGGAAUCUUGCGCAAUGGGCGAAAGCCUGACGCAGCCAUGCCGGGUAAAUGAUGAAAGUCUUAGGAUUGUAAAAUUCUUUCACCGGGGACCAUAAUGACGGUACCCGGAGAAGAAGCCCCGGCUAACUUCGUGCCAGCAGCCGCGGUAA
Molecule: ribosomal RNA, 449 nt
Filed under: uncultured bacterium
Lineage: Bacteria
Description: partial 16S ribosomal RNA
Rfam family: Bacterial small subunit ribosomal RNA
Source: RNAcentral